GGAGAAUGAUUGCAGCUCAGUAGCAGAGCAUCUGGUUUUGGGAUCCACAAGGUCCUGGGUUCAAACCCUGGCAUCUCCA
Molecule: transfer RNA, 79 nt
Filed under: Sphaerodactylus townsendi
Lineage: Eukaryota; Metazoa; Chordata; Lepidosauria; Squamata; Sphaerodactylidae
Description: tRNA-Gln
Source: RNAcentral